RNAcentral lists this ribosomal RNA (82 nucleotides) under Pelargonium quinquelobatum. Its description in RNAcentral is "4.5S ribosomal RNA". The record is from RNAcentral. Lineage: Eukaryota; Viridiplantae; Streptophyta; Magnoliopsida; Geraniales; Geraniaceae.
CGUUUAUCAUUACGAUAGGUGUUAAGUGGAAGUGCAGUGAUGUAUGCAGCUGAGGCAUCCUAACAGACCGUUAGACUUGAAC